GUUUGUGUUCUCCAAGAACUGGGAAUAUUACCUGAUGUCAUAGCUGUGUUGAUUAAAGAGAGAUAAUAAUUAAGAGCAUCUUCGUCUAAAUGUACUAUAAAAGAGUAUGGAAUGCCGUCUUCACCAGGCGCCGAGUCUUUAAUAACAGAAAGUACACCUUUUAAUUCAUUGACAGUGAAGGAUGAAUUAAGAUCAAAUGUAGAAUCAUUAUUAUUAACUAUUUCUGUAUUAAUAGUUAAAGGAUUUACAUGGAGCUGUUCUGGAACGAAAGUUGUACCAGUUGGCAUUACUUAAUUUAUACCUCAUACGGGGCUGUUUCAUCUGCUGCAAGGGUUUUGAAAAAGGAAAAGGAAUUAAUAAUGGAUAAUGAUCACUAUUAUAACUAUAGUUAAGCGGACACCAAACAAGAGAUGAAGCAAGAUCUGGUGUACAUAUCGAUAAGUCUGGUGAGCUGAGACCUUCAGUGGGUCUUGUGAUGCGUGUUGGCAUACCAGUAUUUAAAAUACAUAAGUUAUGGGAGUCAAUUAACUCCAAUAAUUGGUCACCAUAACUAUUGGAUGAAGAGGAACCCCAAGUCUGAUGAAAGCGACCAAAUGUGACGGGAUGCAAUGUUGUGUUGCUGUUAUCAUCUGAGAAUUCCCUCUGGACAUGAAUUAUAUAUGGUGCUGCAUCUGAUGGCUGAUACCUAGUGCGAGCAAUAGGUGUUCGAGUGAUUUCAGUGUUUUGUGUAAUAUUAUUGUUAAGAGCAGUAGAAACUGCAUUUUGAGAUUUGGAAUUGACUUCAGAAUCUUUAUUAUUAUAUUGAUCUAU
This is a long non-coding RNA of Achroia grisella, 810 nucleotides long. RefSeq lists it as uncharacterized. The transcript has 3 exons. NCBI's taxonomy places the organism in Eukaryota, Metazoa, Arthropoda, Insecta, Lepidoptera, Pyralidae. The record is from RefSeq and is a predicted model, not a curated record.